Molecule: non-coding RNA, 82 nt
Filed under: Syntrophobotulus glycolicus
Lineage: Bacteria; Bacillati; Bacillota; Clostridia; Eubacteriales; Desulfitobacteriaceae
Also listed under: 1 other name
Description: ZTP sequence
Rfam family: ZMP/ZTP riboswitch aptamer (pfl RNA motif)
About the family: Previously known as pfl RNA. ZMP is also known as AICAR.
Source: RNAcentral
AAACCUUCACAUAACUGGCGGAAGUGGGAAAACCACAGGGAGUGUGAAGCGUAUCGAUUAGCCGACCGCCUGGGCAGUUUUA